Molecule: ribosomal RNA, 253 nt
Filed under: uncultured bacterium
Lineage: Bacteria
Description: partial 16S ribosomal RNA
Rfam family: Bacterial small subunit ribosomal RNA
Source: RNAcentral
UACGGGGGGGGCAAGCGUUGUUCGGAAUUACUGGGCGUAAAGGGCUCGUAGGCGGCCAACUAAGUCAGACGUGAAAUCCCUCGGCUUAACCGGGGAACUGCGUCUGAUACUGGAUGGCUUGAGGUUGGGAGAGGGAUGCGGAAUUCCAGGUGUAGCGGUGAAAUGCGUAGAUAUCAGGAGGAACACCUGUGGCGAAAGCGGCUCACUGGACCACAACUGACGCUGAGGCGCGAAAGCUAGGGGAGCAAACAGG